CAUCUUGCCAAAACCUAGGGAAAUCUCACAAUUAGUGAUAGAAGAUUCAAGAAGUAAAAUCCCAUGGGAUUUGGAAUAAGAUGUGGCCCAUAUCCAUUGAGGAGUACAUAAUAAAUGAGCAUAGUGAAAACCAUCAUAAUCAACGCAAAAUGACCAAGAAUUAUUCUCAAAUUCUAGUCCAAAGAGCCCUAAAUAUAUUCCAAAAUUUCAGCUUAAAUGAUAUUAAAUGGACGAGAUUAGCAAAAAUGAUUUCUGGACUAAAGUCUAUAGGCUAUGGACUACAUACAAGGGGGCGGUAAAAUUAUAUAAGAGGGAAAUUUACUUACGGACCAGAAAAAAAGUCCAUCGUAAUGUUUUGGCCCAAAAAUGGACUAGUGUGCUUAUCAAAGAAGGGAUUUUUAUCCUAAAUUUGAAAGAUUCUGAGCAAUCUCAGGUAUUUGCAGCAGUGCUAAUCUCCAAUCGAACCGACUAAUCUCAAAAAUCAGGGUUAUUGCCCCUUGUAAAUCUAUGGCCAUGGAAGGUCGAUCACAACCUAAUCAUUACAAUGACCGAAGGAUGGCAGCCUGAGACCAAUUUAGCACACUUUGAUGAUUAUAUCAGUGAGAUGAUGCCUAUACUCUAUGAUGUUUGGUUGAUACUUCGGCUCAAUGUAAUUGGGAACCCCAUCAUUAUAGAAGAAUACCGUUCCUAUCACACAUAUUUGUAUAGAUAGCUUGGAGCUUCUCCAGGAGGUUCCUUUGAUAAGUUAGUGACUAUCAAAUUCAGUUGGCUGAAGGAGAGAUUCAUGAUAUUGCCACCGAAUGCUACUGAUGAGGUGGUGAUGAGGUGGUUGAGUGGCACGCGCGUGCUUAUUUGUUGUAUCUUGUUGGGAGCACAAUUUUUGUCAGCUCGAAGGGCAACGAGGUUCCCAUAAGGCAUCUGAAGUUCUUGGAGGAUUUUGACAGAGCAGGGUGAUAUGCAUGGUGUGCUGCGACUCUAGUCUAUUUAUUUUGUUCUCUUUAUAAGUUCGUUAUCAAGAAAAAAUCCCACUUUAGUGGGUCGGCAACGCUUUGUGCAUUGUUAGUUGUGGGUUAGUGUGACAAUAUUUUUAUGUGAUUUCAAUUUAUAAAACCUGAUAGGUCGAUAAACUUUAAUAUAUUUUUGUCAUUAAUUCAUUAUGCAGACUUGAGCAUUUGAGUAUUUUCUCACUUUUCGGCCUAAUAAUGAGAUGACAAACGUUAGAGUGGGCGAGGCACGCGCGAAGCGAUGGAGACCUCCCGUUCCAAAGAAAAACCCUUGAAAUAUCGAAUCCUACUACCAUUAGGAGAUGGAACUCCUUAAUUCGUCGAAAGUUAGCACAAUCACAAUAAUUGUGUUACAAAUUUUAAUUACAUUGAAUAAACUAAUGCAAAAUUAUUUGUGUGAUUAUUUGUGGGUUUCAUAUUAUACUCGUAAAAUGGAUUUUAUUUAUCUCAAAUUGUAGGUUCUAUGGCAACCAUAUAUCACAACCAAAUGAUAGCCAAAUGGAUAGGGAUAAGUAAGAAGCAUCUUCCAAUGCUUUCACCUCUGCAAUGUGCAAUUUUAAUCUUAUUUUUAUAACAUUGCGGAGCGCUAUCUGCCAAAGCGAGUGCUAUGACAGUUUGCCUUAAAGCAGGGAAUUCCUCCGAAUCCAGAGAGAUGGGGACGAGGAGAGAAGCAUGGUACGUUGGUGGAUUCAUGGAUGCAGGAGUUAGCCUCGAAAAUCCAAAUAUGGUUGGAUCAUUACAUGUACUGGGCCGGAGGUAAUAUUAUUGAUGCGGAUACUGAGGAUGGGGUGCCCUCAGUAGAGUGCAAGCAAUGGUACUCGAUGGUGUCUAGGCCGACUAUUUAGAACACCGUACAAAAUCAAGGGGUGUAAUAUAUACCCCAAGAGGAUAUGUUGACAAGUCGAGCAUGGGUGCAACACACAAUGCAACACCUUAGUUCUAUGUUGCAUCCUACUGAUAUGGGACACAUCGCUCGAGAGCAUGUAACAGUUGCUUGUCGGGAGUUGUCCAACCGAGAGGAGCAAGUCGUCAAGGAGGAUGAGAAGGCAAAUGAGGAUAAGGAGGCGGAUGGAGAGGAGGAGGCAGAGGCUGAGGAGGCGAAGGACGAGAUCCCCUUGCUUGGGCUUGUAGAGCCAAUUUUACAUGAGCGACGAUUCAACCUGCGACAACAACAGGCUCAAGGCAUUACAAUCAAGCAACAGGACGAGGGGCCUAGCCAGGUCUAUAAAGGGGGUCAGAUUGGUAGAACUAAACAUCACAAUGUUUUCUAUUUUUGUUUGGGCAUAUAUAAAAAAUGCUAUAAAUUUCAAAUGUUAUAUUAUGUUCA
Molecule: non-coding RNA, 2331 nt
Organism: Amborella trichopoda
Lineage: Eukaryota; Viridiplantae; Streptophyta; Magnoliopsida; Amborellales; Amborellaceae
Source: RefSeq, a predicted model, not a curated record